This 490-nucleotide ribosomal RNA is filed under the name uncultured bacterium. Its description in RNAcentral is "bacterial SSU rRNA". It matches the Rfam family "Bacterial small subunit ribosomal RNA", at positions 17 to 518 of the family's 1533-position model. The record is from RNAcentral.
UUCUGGCUCAGGAUGAACGCUGGCGGCGUGCUUAACACAUGCAAGUCGAACGGACAUUUAAUGAAACCUAGUGAUUAAAUGUUAGUGGCGGACGGGUGAGUAACGCGUGGGUAACCUGCCUUACACUGGGGGAUAACACUUAGAAAUAGGUGCUAAUACCGCAUAAGCGCACAGCUUUGCAUGAAGCAGUGUGAAAAACUCCGGUGGUGUAAGAUGGACCCGCGUCUGAUUAGCUAGUUGGUGAGGUAAUGGCUCACCAAGGCGACGAUCAGUAGCCGGCCUGAGAGGGUGAACGGCCACAUUGGGACUGAGACACGGCCCAAACUCCUACGGGAGGCAGCAGUGGGGAAUAUUGGACAAUGGGGGAAACCCUGAAUCCAGCGACGCCGCGUGAGUGAAGAAGUAUUUCGGUAUGUAAAGCUCUAUCAGCAGGGAAGAAAAUGACGGUACCUGACUAAGAAGCCCCGGCUAACUACGUGCCAGCAGCCGC